Molecule: ribosomal RNA, 468 nt
Filed under: uncultured bacterium
Lineage: Bacteria
Description: partial 16S ribosomal RNA
Rfam family: Bacterial small subunit ribosomal RNA
Source: RNAcentral
GACGAACGCUGGCGGCGUGCUUAACACAUGCAAGUCGAACGGAAAGGCCCUGCUUGCAGGGUGCUCGAGUGGCGAACGGGUGAGUAACACGUGGGUGAUCUGCCCCUUACUUUGGGAUAAGCCUGGGAAACUGGGUCUAAUACUGGAUAGGACCAUGCUGUAGGUGGUGUGGUGGAAAGAUUAGUUUCGGUAAGGGAUGAGCUCGCGGCCUAUCAGCUUGUUGGUGGGGUAAUGGCCUACCAAGGCGUCGACGGGUAGCCGGCCUGAGAGGGUGGACGGCCACAUUGGGACUGAGAUACGGCCCAGACUCCUACGGAGGCAGCAGUGGGGAAUAUUGCACAAUGGGCGCAAGCCUGAUGCAGCGACGCCGCGUGGGGGAUGACGGCCUUCGGGUUGUAAACUCCUUUCAGCCAUGACGAAGCCCUUGUGGUGACGGUAGUGGUAGAAGAAGCACCGGCUAACUACGUG